RNAcentral lists this ribosomal RNA (818 nucleotides) under uncultured bacterium. RNAcentral's name for it is "bacterial SSU rRNA". It matches the Rfam family "Bacterial small subunit ribosomal RNA", at positions 8 to 796 of the family's 1533-position model. The record is from RNAcentral.
AGAGUUUGAUCAUGGCUCAGGACGAACGCUGGCGGCGUGCUUAACACAUGCAAGUCGAACGAAGAGCGAUGGAAGCUUGCUUCUAUCAAUCUUAGUGGCGAACGGGUGAGUAACGCGUAAUCAACCUGCCCUUCAGAGGGGGACAACAGUUGGAAACGACUGCUAAUACCGCAUACGAUCCAAUCUCGGCAUCGAGGAUGGAUGAAAGGUGGCCUCUAUUUAUAAGCUAUCACUGAAGGAGGGGAUUGCGUCUGAUUAGCUAGUUGGAGGGGUAACGGCCCACCAAGGCAAUGAUCAGUAGCCGGUCUGAGAGGAUGAACGGCCACAUUGGGACUGAGACACGGCCCAGACUCCUACGGGAGGCAGCAGUGGGGAAUCUUCCGCAAUGGACGAAAGUCUGACGGAGCAACGCCGCGUGAGUGAUGACGGCCUUCGGGUUGUAAAGCUCUGUUAAUCGGGACGAAAGGUCCUCUUGCGAAUAGUUAGAGGAAUUGACGGUACCGGAAUAGAAAGCCACGGCUAACUACGUGCCAGCAGCCGCGGUAAUACGUAGGUGGCAAGCGUUGUCCGGAAUUAUUGGGCGUAAAGCGCGCGCAGGCGGAUCAGUCAGUCUGUCUUAAAAGUUCGGGGCUUAACCCCGUGAUGGGAUGGAAACUGCUGAUCUAGAGUAUCGGAGAGGAAAGUGGAAUUCCUAGUGUAGCGGUGAAAUGCGUAGAUAUUAGGAAGAACACCAGUGGCGAAGGCGACUUUCUGGACGAAAACUGACGCUGAGGCGCGAAAGCCAGGGGAGCGAACGGGAUUAGAUACCCCGGUAGUCC